UACAGAGGGGGCGAGCGUUGUUCGGAAUUACUGGGCGUAAAGGGCGCGUAGGCGGCCAACUAAGUCAGACGUGAAAUCCCUCGGCUCAACCGGGGAACUGCGUCUGAUACUGGAUGGCUUGAAUUCGGGAGAGGGAUGCGGAAUUCCAGGUGUAGCGGUGAAAUGCGUAGAUAUCUGGAGGAACACCGGUGGCGAAGGCGGCAUCCUGGACCGAGAUUGACGCUGAUGCGCGAAAGCCAGGGGAGCAAGCGGG
RNAcentral lists this ribosomal RNA (253 nucleotides) under uncultured bacterium. RNAcentral's name for it is "partial 16S ribosomal RNA". It matches the Rfam family "Bacterial small subunit ribosomal RNA", at positions 524 to 776 of the family's 1533-position model. The record is from RNAcentral.